Molecule: ribosomal RNA, 531 nt
Filed under: Psychrobacter sp.
Lineage: Bacteria; Pseudomonadati; Pseudomonadota; Gammaproteobacteria; Moraxellales; Moraxellaceae
Description: bacterial SSU rRNA
Rfam family: Bacterial small subunit ribosomal RNA
Source: RNAcentral
GACCUGAUCCAGCCAUGCCGCGUGUGUGAAGAAGGCCUUUUGGUUGUAAAGCACUUUAAGCAGUGAAGAAGACUCUUCGGUUAAUACCCGGGGACGAUGACAUUAGCUGCAGAAUAAGCACCGGCUAACUCUGUGCCAGCAGCCGCGGUAAUACAGAGGGUGCAAGCGUUAAUCGGAAUUACUGGGCGUAAAGCGAGCGUAGGUGGCUUGAUAAGUCAGAUGUGAAAUCCCCGGGCUUAACCUGGGAACUGCAUCUGAAACUGUUAGGCUAGAGUAGGUGAGAGGGAAGUAGAAUUUCAGGUGUAGCGGUGAAAUGCGUAGAGAUCUGAAGGAAUACCGAUGGCGAAGGCAGCUUCCUGGCAUCAUACUGACACUGAGGCUCGAAAGCGUGGGUAGCAAACAGGAUUAGAUACCCUGGUAGUCCACGCCGUAAACGAUGUCUACUAGUCGUUGGGUCCCUUGAGGACUUAGUGACGCAGCUAACGCAAUAAGUAGACCGCCUGGGGAGUACGGCCGCAAGGUUAAAACUCA